RNAcentral lists this ribosomal RNA (484 nucleotides) under uncultured bacterium. RNAcentral describes it as "partial 16S ribosomal RNA". It matches the Rfam family "Bacterial small subunit ribosomal RNA", at positions 30 to 507 of the family's 1533-position model. The record is from RNAcentral.
AUUGAACGCUGGCGGCAGGCCUAACACAUGCAAGUCGAGCGGAUGAAGGGUGCUUUCUCCUGGUUUCCGCGGCGGACGGGUGUGUAAUGCCUAUGAAUCUGCCUGGUAGUGCUGGAUAACGUCCUCAAACGGGCGCUAAUACCGCCUACGUGCUGCUGCUGCAAGUGGGGGAUCUUCGGACCUCUCGCUCUCAUAUGAGCCUAGGUCGGAUUAGAUAGUUGGUGGGGUGAAGGGCUACCAAGGCGGCGAUCCGCUACUGGACUGAGAGGAUGAUCAGUCACACUGGAACUGAGACACGGUCCAGAGGCCUAAGGGAGGCAGCAGUGGGGAAUAUUGGACAAUAGGCGAAAGCAUGAUCCAGUCAGGGGGAGUGUGUGAAGAAGGUCUUCGGAUUGUAAAGAACUUUAAGGUGGGAGGAAGGGCAGUAAGUUAAUACCUAGCUGUUUUGACGUUACCAACAGAAUAAGCACCGGCUAACUUCGUG